AGUACAUUCACACCAAUUCAUGUCUUCAUACAUGUACUUUGGACAAUAAUCUACAUCACAUUCCACCAUCAUUUCUAACCCCAUGCCCCUCUCUUCUCCUCCCACCCCUCUGCCCUAUCUAGAGUUCCUCUAUUCCUCCCACACUCCCCCUCCCUACCUCACUGUGAAUCAGCCUCCGUAUAUCAGAGAAAACAUUCUGCAUUUGUUUUUUUGGGAUUGGCUAACUUCACUUAGCAUUAUCUUCUCUAACUCCAUCCAUUUACCUGCAAGUGCCAUGAUUUUAUUCUCUUUUAUUGCUGAGUAAUAUUCCAUUGUGUAUAUAUGC
RNAcentral lists this long non-coding RNA (325 nucleotides) under Marmota monax (woodchuck). Lineage: Eukaryota; Metazoa; Chordata; Mammalia; Rodentia; Sciuridae. The record is from RNAcentral.